CGAGUCGCUGGGGAUAUGUUUCGUCUCGUAAGUGGGAGGGUCGGUUUCCCCCUCCGACUUACGACCCGAAACAUAUCCCCAGCGACUUG
Non-coding RNA from Marchantia polymorpha subsp. ruderalis, 89 nucleotides. The record is from the annotation of a GenBank genome assembly. Lineage: Eukaryota; Viridiplantae; Streptophyta; Marchantiopsida; Marchantiales; Marchantiaceae.